Macadamia integrifolia is the source of this 6701-nucleotide RNA transcript. It is a transcript of the gene named putative phospholipid-transporting ATPase 9, with no coding region annotated. The transcript is spliced from 16 exons. NCBI's taxonomy places the organism in Eukaryota, Viridiplantae, Streptophyta, Magnoliopsida, Proteales, Proteaceae. The record is from RefSeq and is a predicted model, not a curated record.
UGUAUCAAGUUUCAUAGUAAGAAAACAAAUACACAGAAGAAGAAAAUCCCAUUUUGGAAGAAUUUCUGGGUUGUUUCCCAUAAAAUUCAACUUCUGUGAGAAUGAAUGAUUAAUACCUCGAAUAUUCAAAUUUCUUUUAUGAGAUUUUUGUUUUUAAUUAAAAAGUUGGGUAUUUAGAUUUAUUUAUAUAUAUAUAUUUUUUUUUCUUCCGUUUCUUUUGGGUUAGUUUUACCUGGAUUGUCUGUCAAAUUUGAAUUUUCUGAGCUUUGAGACCUGGGUAUCUCCUAUUCCCAUAUGGGCGUGUUUGAUUCGUCGCUCUUGUCUGCACGUCAAAGGCAGAAGAAUUCGAAGUCUUUGCGUUUAAAGCCUUUGAACCAUCAUUACAUGCCACCAUCUAUAAGAGAACUGCUAAAUGAGCUUGUUGGUUAUGAAUUCAGUGGCUAUAUUUGGGUCCUGACAAGUGGGUUUAGCUUCUUCUCGUUGACGGACAGAGAUUUCAGUUCAGGGAAUAUUUUGUGAAUGAGAGAUUGUGGUCUUAUUAAAAGAUUUUGAGAAUCUCUGUUUCUUCCUGGGUAUUAUUCCUUUUGCCACCUGGGAGAGUUUUGUCUUUUGAUUCUUUUUUGUUUAAUUUUUUAAUCUUCUGGGGGGCUUGAAAUUUGGUUCAGGAUUCGUUUACAUUUUCUGGGUUUCUGAUCUUAGCAGUAGUUGCCAUAUUUUUUUUUUUAAAAGGGUUUUCUGGGUUCUGGGAAUUGGUGGUGGGAGGUUCUCACUUGAAGAAGCUGCAUUUCAUCAGAGAUUUUUCUGUUGAAGUUGCAGUUUUUUGUUGGUUUUUUGGUGCGUUUAGCUGUGUUGUGGUCCUGUAGAUUGGGGGUAGAGUUGGUGUUGGCAAAGGAUGGCUAGGGGAAGAAGAAGGAAGCGGCUUUUCAGCAAGAUCUAUACCUGUGGGAAAACAUCUGGCAGGGAGGAGCUCUCACAGAUUGGUGGACCAGGCUUCACAAGGGUGGUCUUCUGCAACGACCCAGAAGGCUAUGAGGCAUCGGCCUUCAUUUAUGGAGACAAUUACGUGAGAACCACCAAGUAUACGCUUGCCACUUUCUUUCCCAAGGCCUUGUUUGAGCAGUUCAGGAGAGCUGCCAACGUAUACUUCCUCAUUGUUUCCUGCUUGUCCUUCACACCUCUUGCUCCUUACUCAGCUAUCAGUUCUGUUUUCCCUCUUGUUGUUGUGAUUGGAGCUAGCAUGAUGAAAGAAGCCAUCGAAGAUUGGCGGCGUAAGACGCAGGACAUUGAGGUGAACAAUCGAAAAGUUAAGGUGCAUCAUAGUGAUGGCAGUUUUGAUAAUACAAUGUGGAGGAACCUGAGAGUUGGAGAUAUAGUGAUGGUGGAGAAGGAUAAUUUCUUUCCUGCUGACCUUCUUUUGCUUUCAUCCAAUUAUGAGGAUGCCAUUUGCUAUGUUGAGACCAUGAACCUUGACGGGGAGACGAAUUUGAAACUGAAACAAGCACUGGAGGUAACUUCAGGUUUGCAUGAGGAGGUUAACUUCCGUGAUUUCAAGCCUGUCAUUAAAUGUGAAGACCCCAAUGCGAACCUGUACGCUUUUGUUGGAACUAUGGAAUUUGGAGAGCAACAAUAUCCCCUUUCACCCCAGCAACUUCUCCUUAGGGACUCAAAGCUCAGGAAUACAGACUAUAUCUAUGGGGCUGUUGUUUUUACAGGCCAUGACACAAAAGUUAUGCAGAAUUCCAUGGAACCACCCUCUAAGAGAAGCAAAGUUGAAAGAAAGAUGGAUAGGCUUGUCUAUUUCUUGUUUACUAUGUUGGUUUUGAUUUCUUUCAUUGGAUCUAUCUUUUUUGGGACUACAACUAGAGAUGACCUUGAAAGUGGCAGGAUGAAAAGGUGGUAUCUUAGACCACAUGAUACCACAAUUUAUUUUGAUCCCAACAAAGCAGCCAUUUCAGCAAUUUUUCAUUUCUUAACCGCCCUGAUGUUGUAUAGCUACUUUAUCCCCAUCUCCUUGUAUGUAUGCAUAGAGAUUGUCAAAGUUAUGCAGACAAUCUUCAUCAACCAAGAUCUGCACAUGUACUAUGAGGAUACUGAUAAGCCUGCACAUGCUCGCACCUCAAAUUUGAACGAGGAGCUUGGCCAAGUUGACACAAUACUUUCAGACAAGACGGGAACUCUGACCUGCAAUUCGAUGGAAUUUAUAAAGUGCUCAAUCGCUGGGACAGCUUAUGGUCGUGGGAUCACAGAAGUUGAAAGGGCUAUGGCUAAGAGAAAAGGAUCACCAUUGGUUCAUGAGGAGGUCUAUGAUGAAGGCCAUGUAGAGAAUUCUGUUGAUGAAAAACCUGCUGUUAAAGGCUUCAAUCUUAAGGAUGAAAGGAUCAUGAAUGGAAAAUGGAUUAAUGAGCCAUGCUCAGAUGUCAUUCAAAAGUUCUUUCGCUUAAUGGCAAUCUGCCACACAGCCAUACCUGAAGUGGAUGUUGAGGGUGGGAAUAUCUCAUAUGAGGCAGAGUCCCCAGAUGAGGCAGCCUUUGUGAUUGCAGCAAGAGAACUUGGCUUUGAAUUUUACCAGAGGACACAAACGAGCAUCACACUGAACGAGUUGGAUCCAGUGUUUAAAAAGCAAGUUGAAAGGACGUAUAAACUUUUGAAUAUCUUAGAGUUUAAUAGCACUAGAAAGCGGAUGUCUGUGAUAGUAAGGAAUGAGGGGGAACAGCUUCUAUUACUCUGUAAAGGUGCUGACAGCGUCAUGUUUGAAAGGCUUGCAAAGAAUGGGAGGGAGUUUGAAGUGCAGACUGAGGAGCAUGCGAAUGAGUAUGCUGAUGCAGGAUUGAGAACAUUGGUGCUUGCUUAUCGUGAACUCAGUGAGGAGGAAUACAGAGAGUUUAAUGAGGAAUUCACAGAGGCCAAGAACCUGGUCAGUGCAGAUCGUGAUUUAAGGAUUGAUGAAGUGGCAGAGAAGAUAGAGAAGGAUUUGAUUCUUCUUGGUGCUACUGCUGUGGAGGACAAAUUGCAACAUGGGGUUCCAGAGUGCAUUGACAAACUUGCGCAAGCCGGAAUUAAAAUAUGGGUUUUGACUGGAGAUAAGAUGGAGACUGCAAUUAAUAUUGGUUUUGCAUGUAGUCUGCUUAGACAAGGAAUGAAACAAAUAAUUAUUAACUUGGAGACGCCGGAAAUGAAAGCAUUGGAAAAAGAGGGAGACAAGUCUGCCAUUGCCAAGGCAUCGAAGGCAAGUGUGAUCCAUCAGAUAGAUGAAGGGACGGCACAUCUCACUCCAUCAAGUGGAGGCUCAGAUGCAUUUGCUUUGAUGAUUGAUGGGAAAUCACUUGUAUAUGCUCUGGAGGAUGAUGUUAAGAACAAGUUUCUAGACCUGGCACUUGGUUGUGCAUCUGUUAUAUGCUGCCGCUCAUCACCAAAACAAAAAGCGCUGGUUACAAGAUUGGUCAAAGUUGGAACUGGUAAGACAACAUUAGCAAUUGGUGAUGGGGCCAAUGAUGUGGGAAUGCUUCAAGAAGCAGAUAUCGGAGUUGGCAUUAGUGGUGUCGAAGGGAUGCAGGCAGUCAUGUCAAGUGACUUUGCAAUUGCUCAGUUUGAAUUUCUGGAGCGUUUACUACUUGUGCAUGGCCACUGGUGUUACAGAAGGAUCUCAUCAAUGAUAUGCUACUUCUUCUACAAGAACAUCAUGUUUGGUUUUACUCUCUUCUUAUUUGAGGCAUACUCAUCAUUCUCCGCACAAGCUGCGUACAAUGAUUGGUUUAUGUCAUUGUAUAAUGUCUUUUUUACGUCACUUCCAGUCAUUGCUCUGGGUGUGUUUGACCAGGAUGUAUCUGCCCGGUUUUGUCUCCAGUUCCCUCUAUUGUACCAAGAAGGUGUGCAGAAUGCCCUCUUCAGCUGGCUUCGAAUAUUGAGCUGGAUGUUCAAUGGAGUUUGUGGUGGCAUAAUCAUUUUCUUCUUGUGCACAAAUGCAUUGGAGCUCCAGGCCUUCCGAAAAGAAGGUGAGGUUGUCGAGUUGGAGAUCAUGGGGGUGACCAUGUACACUUGUGUUGUGUGGGUUGUGAAUUGCCAGAUGGCAAUCUCUGUCAGUUAUUUCACCCUGAUUCAACACAUCUUCGUCUGGGGUGGAAUCAUGGUUUGGUAUCUAUUCCUUUUGGCCUAUGGUGCCAUGUCACCUACGUUUUCCAACACUGCCUAUGAGGUCUUUAUUGAAGCAUGUGCUCCAGCUCCCUCCUACUGGCUUAUUACACUCUUUGUUGUAAUCUCCAGUCUUAUCCCCUACUUUAUGUUCUCUGCCAUCCAGAUGCGAUUCUUUCCCAUGUAUCAUGGGAUGAUACAAUGGAUAAGAAAAGAUGGGCAAUGUGAAGAUCCUGAGUACUGCCACAUGGUGCGUCAGAGAUCAAUUCGACCCAUCACAGUUGGUUUCACUGCACGGAUUGAAGCUAAAUCUAGACAUUUGAAAGAGAAGCUUCGUCACAGAACAUAAUUACAAUUUUGGAUGGGUUACACACUUACACUUGAAUGAUGUCAGGCAAGGUAACUUGGCGGAAGGCAAGCAGAUGCGUAUAAUUAUUUAGUGAAUGAGAGCAUUCACUUUCUCCCACUUGACUGUUAAGGUUGCCUUGCUAGUACCAGUGUCAGGAUAACAGCUACUGGCAUUCUCUCCAACUGGUCACAGAUAGCAGAAUCUGUUGUAUACUAUUCAUUGGACGGGCAGAGGAAGCCCAAAAUCUGUAAAUUUUGAUUCUUGGCUGUCUCAGGCCAUUCAUCGCCACCCCACCAAAAUUUCGACCAUCCAUCUUGUACUAUUGCCAAAUUGAUUGUUCUUUGUUCUAACAUGUCAAAUUUGGGUCAGAGAAAACUCGUUGAUUCCUGUGAUCAGGUCGGGACUUGAUGCAGAUGUGUUAAACCUCUGAACUGGUCCAUGGUGUUGCUGAAUGGAAACCGACUCUCUUGCAUUCUGCCCCAUUAAGAAACUCGGCAAGUUCAUGAGUCAUGAGCUUGCUUGUUCACUAGUUUAUGGUUAUCCAUUUAGAAGAACAUUUUGCAAAGCUUUAUGACAAGAUUGGAAAGAAAAUUUCUCUCUCAAAUACGCAAGAGAUAUCUUUGAACAGCAGGCAAGCUGGGUUGUGCUUUCUUCCAACCUUUGAUAAGAUGAUGUGCUACAACAAAUUUCACACACUGAAACAAGCACUAGAUCUGGCAAGUUGUAAAAUGCUGCAUUUUGAGCAAACUGGGUGCCAAGUAGAGGUAUAUACAUAUAUAGAAUAGAAGUCGUUUCAAGAACCAACCACCUAUUUGCGAGAAGCUGAAACCACUACAACAAAAUUUUCAGUACUUCCCCGAUAUUCUUCAGGAAUAUUACCUCUUGAUAUGAAGAAGACUGCGAUGAGCCUGGUUGUUGAAAAUCUUAAAAUUCAGUUUAUUUUCCAAUGUUAAAUUGUCUUCAUUGAACUUUUGAAUAUAGCAUGUAACAAGUCUGGUAGAAGCACAAUCUAGAGGGCCAUGUAGUAUAUUGGUGGUUAAAAGGUCUACCGGUUUAGAAUGAGUUUUUACUAUCACAUGUGAAGUCCUUUUUCUUGUUAAAUAUGGAUUAGAUUGGAACACAAACUCAUUGAGAAUAAAGCAUUCAUAGCAUGAGAUGAAAUUUCCCAAACAGACUCACAAGGAAAGGCAGAAAGUUAAGAAAGAAAAAGAUCGAUUUGGAACAGCACAUACCAACAAAAUUGCAGAGAAUGAAAACCAAUACUUCCACUUCUGAUGUAGUUAGCAUCCUGAAAAUAUUUGCAUAGUUGGCUGUGAUUGUCCUUGAACUCUUGGUUAUAAGGUUUCUCUUGUUCUAUGUCAACUGAUUUUAACCAUUCUGUUUCUCUUGUAGUUGUAAUUUCUUUAAGAAUCCUAUCUUGUGGGAUAUCCCUACCAGGGCAAUGGGUUCCGCAUUGUCAGUUUGAUCCUUGGAUGGAAAGAGUUUUCAAGGGUCUAUUUGUUAUGUUCUGUUAAAGUAUUUUUGUUGUUCUUCUGUUCUUUUGGAACAAUAAAAGAACAAAAACAUGUUUGGUAACAUUGAUUCAUUUUUCUAUUCUUCUGUAAUGAACAAGGCAACUUGAACACACUGUUGAGAUAACAAAAUUGAAGGAGCAAAAAUUGAAAGCACCCCCGUAUCCUCUUCUCCUUUCUCUCCCUCCUCUCCCAACUUCAUCUCUCUCAUUGCAAAGGCUCACUCACCGGCCGUUGGUUGUGGAAGCCCCUGGAGGUCUCAUGCUUCGUCCCAAUGGUCGUGGAAGUUCUGUUUCUAGGGUUUCGAGGUCUCCGGCAGGUUCUAUCAAACGACCGUAAACUGACUGACGCUGUUAAACUGACCUGUAAAAAGCCCAAUUUACCCUUCAAAAUUCCCAGAAGGUGACGAGAAGGGGAUAAUCAAUAAGAAUGAUCUUUGCCUGUACGUCUUCGCUUCCAAACCAUCCAGUGGCGCUGCAAUUUUUAAGUUCUAGUUCCUCUUUCUCACUCCCCAGUCUUGAAUAAAAGGAAUUGGAAAAACCUCUGUUUGGCUGGCUUCAUAUGUGAAAGACAAUGAUCUGGCCUUUCUUAUCAGUUGAAAUAAAUAACUCAUGUCUUGUAACAUUGUGAUCUUUGUACAGUAUUGAAGAAUUCUCUCUCCUCUUGAAUUUGCACUACUAUUUAAGAAGAAAAGAAUUUGAAGUGUUGCAGUA